CAGUAGCCGCGGGAAUACGUAGGUGGCAAGCGUUGUCCGGAAUUAUUGGGCGUAAAGGGCUCGCAGGCGGUUUCUUAAGUCUGAUGUGAAAGCCCCCGGCUCAACCGGGGAGGGUCAUUGGAAACCGGGAAACUUGAGUGCAGAAGAGGAGAGUGGAAUUCCACGUGUAGCGGUGAAAUGCGUAGAGAUGUGGAGGAACACCAGUGGCGAAGGCGACUCUCUGGUCUGUAACUGACGCUGAGGAGCGAAAGCGUGGGGAGCGAACAGGAUUAGAUACCCCAGUAGUCCCUGUCUCUUAUAA
RNAcentral lists this ribosomal RNA (301 nucleotides) under uncultured bacterium. RNAcentral's name for it is "partial 16S ribosomal RNA". It matches the Rfam family "Bacterial small subunit ribosomal RNA", at positions 509 to 809 of the family's 1533-position model. The record is from RNAcentral.